GUCCCUUCGGGGACAUCCGAUAAAAUUGGAACGAUACAGAAAAGAUUAGCAUGGCCCCUUCGCAAGGAUGACACGCACAAAUUGAGAAAUGGUCCAAUUUUUU
Trifolium pratense (red clover) is the source of this 103-nucleotide small nuclear RNA. NCBI's taxonomy places the organism in Eukaryota, Viridiplantae, Streptophyta, Magnoliopsida, Fabales, Fabaceae. The record is from RefSeq and is a predicted model, not a curated record.